This 8053-nucleotide long non-coding RNA is filed under the name Populus tremula. RNAcentral describes it as "long non-coding RNA (PTRE_LNC000270)". The record is from RNAcentral. Lineage: Eukaryota; Viridiplantae; Streptophyta; Magnoliopsida; Malpighiales; Salicaceae.
GGUUGCGGGAUCUUGACCCGCCCUCCCAGGGAUCCAGACCUUUCAAGAUCCGGUUGGGGUAAUACACGAAGGAGUUUCCAGGCUUCCUCGACAGCCAUGUAAACAGAAGCAUUAACACCACGAAAACAAAAAACGACGUCCCUAAAGACGUCAAGAAAGAUGUGAAAUCCAUCACUCGCUCAGAACAGAAUUAUUGUGAAAUGGGAAUUAUAAGGGCAAGGAAAGGAAAAGUAGCAGUGAAGAUGAGGGCAAUGAAAGCAGGUCACCGUUGAGGGAGGAAAUGGGGAAUGUAUUUAUGCUAGAGCAUUGAUUGGUGUGUGGUUCAAAUGCAAAAGAUGAGAGAAUACAAAAUGUCUGCCACAAGAAGAAGGCUUUCGAGCUGUUUGGUUCUGUGGGGUUUCGCGCUUUUGUUCAUGUUUAUUCGUCAUCAUCGUCGCAGUGCUUUCAUUUUCAGAGUCCUCGUAAGUAAAAUGAGUGUCUGUGUGUGAAAAGAAAGCGGGGACGGCAUCAACCGAGCGCGUUUCGAGUUUAAAUAAGCAAUUGAUUGUAAAAAAUAAUUGUGAAUCAUAAAAAUUAAAAAUAAAACAUUUAAGUAUGAAUUUUUAGUUAUAAUAGAAAUUACCUAUGAAAGAAAAACAAGUAAAUAAAAGUAAAUAAUUGGUGUAUAUUAGUAAUAUGAUGUUACCUAAAGGUUAGUCAAUGAAUCUAAAUGAAUUCUAUCAACUUUAAUAUUAAAUUACAUCAAAAAUUAGAAUAAUUACUUUGAAUUAUCAAAGAAAUAUGGAUUAAGGAAAAGAUUGUAAAUUUAAUAAUAAUAAAAAAUUAGCCCCUGCUUUAUACUUAAAAGGUUUUCGGCCAAUGGAUGGAAGAAAGUAGAAGCUUUCUUCUUCUCUUUUUAUUGCUUUUUAUUUCUCAUUGCUUAUGAAAAACUAGGUUUUAGGGUUUGAUACAUGGGACUAUGAGAGCUUAAACACUUGUAAAUACAAGAGAAUGAAGUGAGAGAAAAGUAGGGUUUAAAAAGAGAAAGUAAGGAAAUUACAGCAUUUUUAAAAAUGCCCUGUCCACGUCAACGUGAUCUUUUUAGAUAAUGUUUUCUGCAUCCUAGCUCUCAGCUUCAUAAUUUUCAACUAUGUUGACGUGUGUUUGUCUCCACUAUUUUGAUGCUUGAUGUGAUAGAAAUAAAAAUAAAUUAAGAAGUCAAAAAAUAUUAUUUUUAAUAUAUUUUUAAAUAAAAAAAUAUUUUUAAAAAUAAUCAUCAAUAUAAUAUUAAACAUAAACUAGAGGUGAUUAUUUUUUAUUCGGUUUAGUUUUUAUAUAAAAAAUAACCAAACCAAAGUUUUUUUAAAAAAAAUCAAAACCGGUUCAAACAGACUGGUUUCAGUUCCGUUUAGUUUUUUAAACAAAAAUUGGUUCAAAUCGAUUUCACUCGGUUUUUUUCGGUUUUGCCUCGGUUAUUUCCGGUUUGGCUUGAUUUUUUGGUUUUGCUCGGGUUUUUUCCGGUUUGGGUUCGGUUCGGUUUGGUUUUUUCGAUUUCAGACUUAUAAAACCAAAAUCAAACCGAACCGAAAAAAAACCGAGCCAUGAAUAAAAUAAUAAAUACUUUAGAUAUGAGGGGAAAAAUACAGUAACUAAACCAUGAAAAUGACCAACAUCAACAUAGUCUAUAUAUAUACCAGAUGCCAUGUCCGCGUGAUGUUGCGAGCUUAUAGCAUGCUUGUGCGUUGUUGUGCAUUUGUGAAAAAAAUCAUAAAAAAAUUUAAAAAACUAUAUGGAGAAAAAUUGUUGCAAUCCAUAAUAUUUUGAAGAAAAAAACUACAAAGUUAAAUUCUCAACUAACUUACUUUUUAAAAAAUAAAAUCGACAAAGAUAAUUCAGAAAAAAAUCAUAACAAAAAAAAACAAUGUAGGGAAACAUUAUAGCAAUCUGUAAUGUUUCAUGAGGAAAUCUAUAGUUUUAAUUCUUAACCAGCUCAAUAUUAAAAAAAAUAAAAUCGAUAAAGAUAAUUUAAAAAAAAUCUUAACAAAAAAAUCAUAUGAAGGAACACUGUAGCAAUCAACAGUGUUUUAAAAAAAAAAACUAAGAUGCUAAAUUCUCAACUAGCUUAAUAUGAAAAAAAAUAAAAUCAACAAAAGACAAUUAUGGAAAAAAAUCAUAAAAAAAGAAAAAAAAACCAUGUGUGAAAACACCGUAGUAAUCCAUAAUGUUUUAAAGAAAAAAACUAUAAAGCUAAAUUCUCAACUAGCUCAAUAUUAAAAAAAAAUCGACAAAGAUAAUUUUUUAAAAAAAAAACAUGCGGGAACACACUAUAGCAAAACAAAAACCAUGUCGGGAAAUAUUUUAGCAAUCCACAAUGGUUUUUUAAAAAAAUACAACACAAAAUUCUUAACUAGCUCAAUAUAUAAAAAAACUACCAAAUAUCAUUUUGAAAAAAAAAACAAAGAAAAAAAAUUCAUAAAAAGAAAAAAAAAUCAUGUGGUGAAACAUUAUAGCAAUCUAUAAUAUUUUAAAGAAAAAAACUUCAAAACUAAAUCCUCAAUCAAUUCAAUAUUAAAAAAAAAUCAAUAAAAUAACUUUGAAAAAAACACAAAAACAAAAAGAAUAAUAAUAAAAAAUGACCAUCUUUGGAAAAAAAGAAAAGAAAAAAAACAUUUAAAUCCCAAAAAAAAAAGGGAAAAAAUGAAAAAAAAUGGGGAAAUGCAUACAUACAUACAUACAUACAUACAUACAUAUAUAUAUAUAUAUAUAGUUUUUUAGAGUCAAAUAAUUCUAAAAGGUAAAAUCUUUGUCUUACAACCUCCUUUCCUAACUGAUUUAAAAAAAAAAAAAAAAGUCGAAGAGUUUUAUACUUUUGUUUUUGGAUCAUUAAAUGAACAUAAUUGUUGGAAUCACGCGAACUUAAUUAAAAAGGAAAGGGCAAGCAGAAAAUUUAUUUCUUUUAAAAUUCAAUCAAUCAUAAUUUUUUUAAAUAGUAAUUAUGACUUAGUAAUCCAAAGCUUGCUAGGUUAGAUCUCUUUUCAAAAUCAUACAAUUAUGGUAAAACUAGACACAUAUCCUCGCGUAGUGAAGUAUACAAUUUCAAUUAUUCAUAUAAAAUUAACUAUUUAGUAUUUGAUUAUAUUGUCAUAAUCUUGUGGUAUGUUAUCCCUUGUAUUGUUAUUAUUCUAUUUAAUAGUAAUAAAUCUUGUACCUAUACAAAAAUAUUUAACUAAUAUUUUUUAUAACAAAAUAUAAUUAUUUUUUAAAAUAUUUCUCAUUUUGUUAAAAUAAUAAUUUUUUUAAAAAUAUAUUUUUAACACUAAACACCAAAACAAUUCAAAAACGACCACAAAAAGUUAAAAUUUAAAGAAAUUUAAAACUACGUUACAAACUGAAACUUGGUUAAUAAUGCAUCUGCACAUGAUACAAUAACUAAACCAUGAAAAUGACCAACAUCACCACAGUCUAUAUAUAUAUAUAUAUAUAUAAAUUUAAUUAUUUAGUAAUUUGAUUACAUUAUCAUAACCUUUUGGUAUGUUGCCACAUUGUUAUUAUUCUAUGUACCUAUAAAAAAUAGAGUUUUUAUAAUUUUUAAAACAUUCCUUUGAUUAUUUUUUAAAAUAUUAUUUAAUUUAAAAUUUAUUAAAAUAUUAUUUAAAAAAUAAUUUUAAUAUCAACUCAUCAAAACAAUUCAAAAAUAAUAAAAACAAUAACAUUUAAAAGAAAUUUGAAACUACGUUACAAACAAACUGAAACUUGGUUAAUAAUGCAUCUGCACACAAUCAAAUACUUGUUGAAAUACAACGACCGCCUGAACGCGGGUUUCGGUUCAUCUUGAUGUUUUUUAAAGCAAUCUGCAACCUAGAAAGCUUCAACUCUCGAGUAAAAUACACGAAAUACACAAUAUGUUUACAAGUAAAUCCAUGACGUGAUCCACAAAUCUAACAAAUGGUCCAAGUUUUAGAAGCUAAAGGUACUACAGGACUUCAUCGAGCAACAAGAAGCUAGCUACCAACAGGGUAAUAUCAUGCAAACGAUCCGACUCUUGAAACUUGUGAUAAUGCAUCUUCGAAGUGGUCAUCAUCGGCCUUUUCAGAGCUCAAGCUUGGUGGGAUAAAAGACCUGUAGAUGCGUUCCAUGUCAGGAAUUUCCUUCAAUUCACGGCAAGCAACUUCGAGGGCUGUGUCGGCGAAAGAUCUAUAGAAUUUCUUCUGACAGACAAAGGCGAACAGCAAGGAAAGUAUCGGCAGUGGAAUUAGCAAGAGAGUACUGAAGGAGAAUUUCUUCACCCCAAAAUAACCGAACAUUGUAACUUGGUAUAGUAUCAGAGCAGCUAUGACUCUUGUAUGGAUGUGGGGCCACAUCCUGCCAUAGGUCUCAUAGGAUGGAGCAUAUACUUUGAGUGCCUGUUAAAUUUAACCACAUUUGCAAUUAAUAUUGAACAUGUUUAGCUGCAAAACUGGUCGCAUGUUUUGUGAAAAUACGAACUUCUAUUUGCCAAAACUUGCAGCACUUCAAAAUAAAAUGAAAAUAUCAAAGUGAACACAACAGAUAGAUCCGAAAUUCAGCAAAUGUUUGUCAUAGCAAUACACAAUACAUGUUGUUUUAGCUAGCUACAAAAUUUGAAGUGUUAACCCAUCAGAAUGAAUCCAAGCCAUCUCAUGCCAGCACAGGUUUGUGGAAAUAUUGAUUUCUAUUUGCCAGAAUUUGCAACAGUUCAAGGAAUAUGAACAUAGAAAGCACGCAAUGAAUUCUCCGAAAAAACACACACACACACACUGCUAGUCAAACAGAGUAACCAUUCCAAAAUUCAAACAAAACAUUCUAAGAUUUUUAUGAAUGGUGUGAGAUCCUUACCUGGUUCCUAAGGACAAGCCAUCCCAGGCCAAAGUACACCACUCCAAAUGGAAUAAUCAGAGGGGCUAUGACAGAGUAGCAAAGAACAAUUGUGAGAACAAGCAUGUCACCAGGAAUCCGGGUUGCAUAUCCGAAAUCUUUAGGAAACCAAGCUUCUUUUAACUCAGCUUCGGUCUUGCAUAGAUACUUCUUCUUUAGAUGAAAAAUGAUUAGAGGAACUAUACGAGACAGCUCGAGUCCAUAGCCAACGAAAAACCUGAGAGCCACAGAAUACUUAAAAGUCAAAAAAUGCAUUCCAAAAAGAAAAAUGAUUACCAGACCAAGUAUCUAGAUCAAAAUAAAUAGAAACAGAAAAGGCAAACACAUUAGCAUAAGAAACUCCUUUUCAUGUCCAAGUGGUUUAGCAGAGCACAAGAAGAUCUUGUAGCAAGGGGAGUUCUUUGACAGAAGAACGAAAUAAAACAGCUCUGGCUGUCGCGCAACAUCUUCUGGAGGGGUAGACGACUAAAACCAUAGCUUUCUAAAAGGAAAAGAAUUAUAAGUUAAUAUAGUGAGCUUACUUCAGAGCCACAAAAGUCAGGAAGAAAGUUGCAUUCCCCGGGAGGCUACUCGCAAGCAAACUAACAAUGGAGUUUGGUUUCGCCUCAAUGCUCUUGAACGUGCUGAAUAAGGUGCCACCCAGUGUCACUCCAAUAAAGACGUUCAGUAUGGUAAAAUAGAAAUAUUUUCCAGAAGUGGCCCUUACUGCAUGGCCCACUGAAGGAAUUCCCUCAGCCUUUGAGAGAGCCAAAAGUAACUUGGGCAACAGUGCCAAAAACACAAUGAGUGCAAUCUGAGGAAGGUACGCUUCCAGCACCGUCUUAACUGAGACAAUAUUCACAAUUGGCUUUAAAAAUGGGAGAAGUUUCUUCAGAUUAUCCAGGGUUGUUAAUGCGGAAAUGAACCCGAUUGGUAUCAUAUAAAACAAUAUGGUCAGAGCCACAAUAAAACAAACAACAUAAUGCCGGAUUAUCCUUUGAAAGACCUUAAUUUUAAGAUUAGACCAUAUUAUUUGACGUGGUUCAGGGGCUUCCAUGACAGUCCAGGUGUCAACCAUUUGGGCAUGUAGACUCUGGGCGGCAGAAGCUGCAGUCACCCUAUUGGUGAAGAAGGCAAAAGCACAAGGUUGUUGUUUCUCCCGGAGAGUGACUUUCUGUUCAGCUUCCAACUUUGGGAUUAGCUCUUUAAUCUUCUCAUUGUAGUGCUCUAUGCUAUCUACCUUUCUACCAACAAUACCAAGGGGGCCAGUUCUGAUGGUUGGUCUCAAUCCUUCUGGUUUGCCUGUUUUUUUGGAUUCAUUGUAUACAGCUUCUGCAUGUGCAUGCUUCUUCUUGUAUCCUUCCAACUCUUUAUAAAUCUUGUUAACCUAGAAGAGUUUUAGAAAAAGAGGAGGCUCAAAAUCAGCAGAGCUCAUACAGUAUGCAGCACAACACAGAAAAAGAGAACUCACAAUUGACAUUGGUCGAGGAUCAUAAAUUCCUUGAUAUGGAAUAAUAUAUACGAUAACCUCAAAUAUACUUGAUAUUGAAUCAUUAUAUUACUAGCACUAAAUUCCUUCUUUUUUCCCUUUUCUUUAUAAUAAAAUCUGAAAGCUCAAAGGAAUUGGAAACUAAAAAACGAGGGUUGGCUCAAAUUACAGAAGCAAUUUAGGAUGUGGAAUCCAGAACAUCAGGGUAAGUGGCAAGAGCAUGGAAAGGAAGAAACUAAUUUAAAAUUAAAAAAUACCUGUUUGUUGUUUGUCACCACCAUUGAUCUAUAGAAUGUCUCAGGAUAGAUGGAUUUAAAAUAUGAAUCAACCUGUUCCUUUCUAGUUUGGCCCUCAGGGACAUGAGGUAUGUCUCUGACAAGAACAGCGAAUUGCUCUGGUUUCAGUUCAGGAGACAUUAGAGCAUUUGCUCUCAUUCCAGAAACAUGCACGUACGCCUUCCAUAAGAAGAAAUAGGUAACAAGAGAAACCCAAUAGGUAGCAAUCAAGAAUGCCCACAGCCUUGGACUCCCCCCCUGCAGACAUAUUUUUCCAUGGAGCAAAACGAAAACGGGAGCAAGUCAGUUCAAGCAAAAAAAACAAAGAAAGAGGAGUUGUGGAGGUACCUUAACAUUUCCCAUUAAUAAGUUGUCAAUUUCACUAAAACUUAUGGAGGAGUUGCCUUUAGCUUUUUGUCUUUUCACAUUGUCGUCGGUGGCAGCUACAGGCAGAAGUACCGGCAGCAGAACAAGGCCAGACAAAACCAAUAUUGCCAGCGCUGUCAUAUAGAACAAAAAAAAAGUACAAAUAAACAACGUGAGGAGAGCAGUUGUCUGAGAAAUAAUACAUGGAAUGGAAGUGAGAGUUGUCCGAAAUCAUGAAGAAAUGUACACAGAUGGAUUUGCUUAAUCCUAUGAUGUAAGGUGCUUGUCAGUAAUUCAAGCACGACUAAUAAGAGUAGUCAUUGUCAAACCCAAUUAUUUUAGAUUUAUACUUUUUUUAGUUGCAUACCACCAUGUAAACAAACUUUGUUCUGAGCAAACUAAAGUAAAUGAAAAAGGAAAUCGGAAAACAGAGAAAAAUGAAAAGGUUACAGUAUCAAGUUUUGGAAGGCAACCAUCCCUUCGCCUCGAGAAAUUAAUUUAAGGGGAAGAAAGAACAGAACUACCACCAAAAAGGGACACAAUUAAAGACUCAAAGCAACAAAGAAACCCGUAAAAGGUAUGAUUCUAACAACCUGAUAAAUUAGUCACAACAUUACAAUCGAAGCGAUUCUUUGUAUUACAAGAGAGAGAGAGACUCGGGGAAAGAGAGAUUAAUUAAUCAAAUACCAGUGCUCAAGAAGACAAAGUAGACAGCAGCGUCUACACCGGACAUGUUUAUAACGUCCUGCUCGCUGGAAGACAUGGCUUCCCGGAUCCAAGCACAAGGGUUGCGGGAUCUUGACCCACCCUCCCAGGGAUCCAGACCUUUCAAGAUCCGGUUGGGGUAAUACACGAAGGAGUUUCCAGGCUUCCUCGACAGCCAUGUAAACAGAAGCAUUAACACUACGAAAAUAAAAAACGAGGUCCCUAAAGACGUCAAGAAAGAUGAGAAAUCCAUCACUCGCUCAGAACAGAAUUAUUGUGAAAUGGGAAUUAUAAGGGGGGAAGGAAAGGAAAAGUAGCAGUUAAGACGAGGGCAAUGAAAGCAAGUAACCGUUGAGGGAGGAAAUGU